UUUAAUUGGUUGAAUAAUUUCCAGAGAAGGAAGUACUGGUCAGAUUUCAUGGGAUCACAAACACUUCAUUUUCUACUUAAAAAAUGAAGACAAGAUAAAUCUUCCAGCUUAUACUUUCAACCAUCUUUGUGAAGCAAUCAAGGAUAGCACAAAGCUUCACAAGAAGAAUGUGCCUUAUGCUAGAUUGUUAUCAUAAUUUCUCUUUCAAGGUCGUCUUAUU
This 220-nucleotide long non-coding RNA is filed under the name Lathyrus oleraceus (garden pea). Its description in RNAcentral is "Pisum sativum (pea) long non-coding RNA (PSAT_LNC036293)". The record is from RNAcentral. Lineage: Eukaryota; Viridiplantae; Streptophyta; Magnoliopsida; Fabales; Fabaceae.